AUUGAACGCUGGCGGCAUGCUUUACACAUGCAAGUCGAACGGUAACAGGUUAAGCUGACGAGUGGCGAACGGGUGAGUAAUGCAUCGGAACGUGCCCGAUCGUGGGGGAUAACGCAGCGAAAGCUGCGCUAAUACCGCAUACGAUCUGAGGAUGAAAGCGGGGGACCGUAAGGCCUCGCGCGAUCGGAGCGGCCGAUGUCAGGUUAGGUAGUUGGUGGGGUAAAGGCUCACCAAGCCAACGAUCUGUAGCUGGUCUGAGAGGAUGACCAGCCACACUGGGACUGAGACACGGCCCAGACUCCUACGGGAGGCAGCAGUGAGGAAUUUUGGACAAUGGGCGAAAGCCUGAUCCAGCAAUGCCGCGUGCAGGAAGAAGGCCUUCGGGUUGUAAACUGCUUUUGUACGGAGCGAAAAGGCUCUCUCUAAUACAGGGGGCUCAUGACGGUACCGUAAGAAUAAGCACCGGCUAACUACGUGCCAGCAGCCGCAGUAA
This 493-nucleotide ribosomal RNA is filed under the name uncultured bacterium. RNAcentral's name for it is "partial 16S ribosomal RNA". It matches the Rfam family "Bacterial small subunit ribosomal RNA", at positions 30 to 523 of the family's 1533-position model. The record is from RNAcentral.